UACGUAGGGUGCGAGCGUUGUCCGGAAUUAUUGGGCGUAAAGGGCUCGUAGGCGGUUUGUCGCGUCGGGAGUGAAACACUGGGCUUAACUCAGUGCUUGCUUCCGAUACGGGCAGACUAGAGGUAUUCAGGGGAGAACGGAAUUCCUGGUGUAGCGGUGAAAUGCGCAGAUAUCAGGAGGAACACCGGUGGCGAAGGCGGUUCUCUGGGAAUGUCCUGACGCUGAGGAGCGAAAGUGUGGGGAGCGAACAGG
This 252-nucleotide ribosomal RNA is filed under the name uncultured bacterium. RNAcentral describes it as "partial 16S ribosomal RNA". It matches the Rfam family "Bacterial small subunit ribosomal RNA", at positions 524 to 776 of the family's 1533-position model. The record is from RNAcentral.